This 769-nucleotide non-coding RNA is filed under the name Geoscapheus dilatatus. Lineage: Eukaryota; Metazoa; Arthropoda; Insecta; Blattodea; Blaberidae. The record is from RNAcentral.
CAUAUAAUACUAAAUUAAAAUAAGUAAUAUAUGCAAAAUUUUAUUUUAAUAAUUUCUUAAUGAAUUAAUUUGAUAUUUGAGCAGUAAUGAAUAUUAAAUAAUAAAGGGGAUUUUGAUUUAGUUAUUUUUAUUAGCAUUGAUUAAAUAUGUGCCAGCAGUCGCGGUUAUACAUAAGAUGCAAAUAAGUAUUUUUAGUUAUGUAGUUUAUUUAUUAUUUUAAUUUAGUUUAAUGAUUUUUGGGUAAAAUUUAAAUUUUUAUUUUUGUUUUAAGUUUAUAUUAAGUGAGGCUGUGAAAUCUAAAUUAUUUAAACUAGGAUUAGAUACCCUAUUAUUUUGGAUUUAAAUAUUUAAACUUGAGUAGUAUUAGNUAUGGUCUUGAAACUUAAAGAAUUUGGCGGUAUUUUAGUCUAGUUAGAGGAAUCUGUCCCGUGAUCGAUAGUCCACGUUGAACCUUACUUAAUAUAAUUUAAUAUGUAUACCGCCGUUUAUUUGAAGAUCUUUUUAGGGAGAAUUUUCUUUAAAUUUUAAUUAAUUUUAUUUCAGGUCAAGGUGCAGUUAAUAAUUAAGUGGUGAUGGAUUACAAUAUUUAUAAAAUAAAUGAAUUAGAGUUUGAAAAUAUUUUAUGAAGGAGGAUUUAAUAGUAAUUAAUAAUAAGAAUUAUUUUUGUGAUAUUAGCUCUGAAAUGUGCACACAUCGCCCGUCACUCUCGUUAUUAAGAUGAGAUAAGUCGUAACAAAGUAGGUGUACCGGAAGGUGUAGCUAGAUUGAU